GACGUAGGGCGCGAGCGUUGUCCGGAUUUAUUGGGCGUAAAGAGCUCGUAGGCGGCUCGUUGCGUCGGCUGUGAAAACCCGCAGCUCAACUGUGGGCUUGCAGCUGAUACGGGCGGGCUGGAGUUCGGUAGGGGAGACUGGAAUUCCUGUGUAGCGGUGAAAUGCGCAGAUAUCAGGAGGAACACCGGUGGCGGAAGGCGGGUCUCUGGGCCGAUACUGACGCUGAGGAGCGAAAGCGUGGGGAGCGAACAGG
Molecule: ribosomal RNA, 253 nt
Filed under: uncultured bacterium
Lineage: Bacteria
Description: partial 16S ribosomal RNA
Rfam family: Bacterial small subunit ribosomal RNA
Source: RNAcentral